AACUUUUGGCAACGGAUCUCUUGGCUCUCGCAUCGAUGAAGAACGCAGCGAAUUGCGAAAAGUAAUGUGAAUUGCACAACUCGUGAAUCAUCGAACCUUUGAACGCACAUUGCACUUUCGGGCCCAUCCUGAAAGUAUGCCUGGUUGAGUGUCUGUUUUACCUUUCCACUCGUGGAGUCUUGGGUUAUGCUUUCGGGCUUACCUGUAAAACAGCGCGGUCUGCAAGGGAGAAAUCCUGUUCGCAAAGCUUGGCUAGUUAAUACUAGACGUGUCACAGCUGGGUUGCUUGCAACUCCACACCUGCGCGUCUAUACGGUAUUUUCUGGCAAUAUAAAGAGCCUGAACACGCUUGCCGCGAUCAAUGUUGCCUCGGCAACUGACGCAAGUCAAUCUCAACAUCAAGACCUCAACUCAGGCAGGACUACCCGCUGAACUUAAGCAUAUCAAUAAGCGGAGGCU
This 459-nucleotide unclassified non-coding RNA is filed under the name uncultured Basidiomycota. Its description in RNAcentral is "sequence contains ITS2". The stretch from base 1 to 154 matches the Rfam family "5.8S ribosomal RNA". Lineage: Eukaryota; Fungi; Basidiomycota. The record is from RNAcentral.